Non-coding RNA from Tachyglossus aculeatus (Australian echidna), 398 nucleotides. The record is from the annotation of a RefSeq genome assembly. Lineage: Eukaryota; Metazoa; Chordata; Mammalia; Monotremata; Tachyglossidae.
GGAGCAGAGCUCUUGUGUCCGUCUCCACCAUGGCACACACUCCUCUCCUCCUCCUCCACCUCUUCCUCGCACUCUGCACAGAUUUUGUGAGUUCUGUGCCCACUCAGCCGGCAUCGGCGUCGGUGGCUCUAGGACAAACAGCCACCAUCACCUGCUCCGGUGUUAGCAGUACCUAUGGUGCAAACUGGUACCAGCAGAAACCUGGCCAAGUCCCUGGACUGGUAAUAUACGGUACCUCCAGUGGUAGCAACCGACCCUCCGGGAUCCCCGACCGGUUCUCCGGCUCCAAAUCCGGGAGUACGGCCACGCUGACCAUCGCCAGGGCCCAGGCCGAGGACGAGGCCGAUUAUUACUGUCAGAAUGUUGACAGUAGUAAUUCUCACAGUGAUACAGGGUGA